This 775-nucleotide non-coding RNA is filed under the name Aedes aegypti (yellow fever mosquito). Its description in RNAcentral is "Eukaryotic large subunit ribosomal RNA". It matches the Rfam family "Eukaryotic large subunit ribosomal RNA", at positions 727 to 1420 of the family's 3401-position model. The record is from Rfam by way of RNAcentral. Lineage: Eukaryota; Metazoa; Arthropoda; Insecta; Diptera; Culicidae.
UCAGCCUACUCCGACUCGACGUUGGUUGGCCAAGUGCCAGGGUCGGUUCUGCAAUUCCGGUGAGUGUGCAGGAUGUGACCCGAAAGAUGGUGAACAAUGCCUAAUCAGGGUAAAGUCAGGGAAAACCCGGAUGGAGGACCGAAGCAGUUGUGACGAGCAAAUCGAUUGACAGAAUUGGGCAUAGGGGCGAAAAGCCAAUCAAACUAUCUAGUAGUUGGUUCCCUCCGAAGUUUCCCUCGGGAUAGCUGGAGUACGCAACGUUACGGAACCUAUUCUUAUCUGUUAAAGCGAAUGGUUAGAGGACUUAGGUUCGAAAUGAUCAUAACCUAUUAUCAAACUUUAAAUAGGUAAGAUUCGUGCAUGAUGCUGUUGCAACGUUGACACCGGGCUGCCCCUUGUCAGGGCGCGCCACGACAAGCGGCGUAGUAGAUAUCUGUGUGCUUAGGCGGCUCAGUUUUGGUAAGAAGAACUGGUGCUGUGGGAUGGACCAAACGUAAUGUUACGGCGCCUAAAUUAAAGACACUUCAUAGAUGCCAUGAAAGGUGUUGAUUGCUACAGACAUGAGGACGGUGGACAUGGAAGUUGUCAUCGGAUAAGGAGUGUGUAACAACUCAUCUCCCGAAGUAGUUAGCCCUUAAAAUGGAUGGCGCUUAAGCCGUUUGCCUAUACAUUACCGCUAGCGUACAAGCGGGGCAGCUUGCACACACGUCUGCCCUUUGAGACGCCUGCAAAUAUGAGAGUCUGUUGGUGUGUCCCUAUCUACUAUCUAGCACAG